CAGCAGCCGCGGUAAUACAGAGGGUGCGAGCGUUAAUCGGAUUUACUGGGCGUAAAGCGUGCGUAGGCGGCUAAUUGAGUCGGAUGUGAAAUCCCCGAGCUUAACUUGGGAAUUGCAUUCGAUACUGGUUAGCUAGAGUGUGGGAGAGGAUGGUAGAAUUCCAGGUGUAGCGGUGAAAUGCGUAGAGAUCUGGAGGAAUACCGAUGGCGAAGGCGGCCCCCUGGACGAAGACUGACGCUCAGGUGCGAAAGCGUGGGGAGCAAACAGGAUUAGAUACCCGAGUAGUCCCUGUCUCUUAUAC
This 301-nucleotide ribosomal RNA is filed under the name uncultured bacterium. Its description in RNAcentral is "partial 16S ribosomal RNA". It matches the Rfam family "Bacterial small subunit ribosomal RNA", at positions 509 to 807 of the family's 1533-position model. The record is from RNAcentral.